This is a long non-coding RNA of Anguilla anguilla (European eel), 1750 nucleotides long. RefSeq lists it as uncharacterized. NCBI's taxonomy places the organism in Eukaryota, Metazoa, Chordata, Actinopteri, Anguilliformes, Anguillidae. The transcript has 3 exons. The record is from RefSeq and is a predicted model, not a curated record.
GCUCAGAAAGGACAUACUUUACAUCAGAGUAAAGUGUUCUAUUAUUUUAUUAUGUUCCCCGUUCUGAAAAAUGUAAGCAUACAUCUUUAUCAUGCGGCUUAAUGAACACUAUAAAAGUAAGAAGAAAAAAGUGAUUGCGCAUGGGCCUUAAUAGGAAAAAAAUUCCCCGCACAUUAGAUCUACCGCCAAUCUCGCUAACGCUAAUGUGUCGGGGAAAAAAUGACCUUCCUCAGGGUUUGGCAGGACAUCCAAUGUGUGGGUGUUUUUUUUUCUUUUCUUUUUUCUGAUUUACUAGGCGAUGUUGUUCUCCAAGCGACUGGCUACGACAACAAGGAGACAGGAAGCGCUCACCCCUGCUCUGGCUGUCGAGCUCCACUCCGGUAAAAACGUGCUCCAUGAUGAAUGCCAACAGCGCCCUCUGCAGUUUGGGGUCGGGGGUGUAGAGGACGACUGCACCGGCUGUGUGGUCCCAUGCCUGCAGCUGGUAGCUGUGAGCGGUGAGGAGGUCACACAGUGACAGGAAGGCCUAGAGGGAAAUCGACACUAUGGAAGAGUCUGAAAGAGAGAGACAUCCCUCACCUGUUCCUUCACCGCAGGGUUGCUAUGGGAGAGACAGCGGUGGCACUUUUCACAAAAACCCCGGAGCUGGUUCCUCUGGGCGAGGGCUUUCUCCUGAAAUGGCACAGCAGCCAGAAGCGUGAGACGUCAAGGGACGUCCCUCAGCGCAGCACACGGACUGAAUCACAGAGCUGUUCUGAACCAACGCCAUCAUUACUAGUCAUGCGCAGGACAAUCAAACGAAUCUAAAGACUGUUAGACGUCUGGAUUGGAAAGCGUAACGGAGCCUAAUUUGACAGCCCAGACGGGGGGGAAGUCGGCAGUCUUGUCUGAUGAAAGCGAGUCCUUGUGGCUUCCCUCACAUUGCCCUGUGUAACCCAUGCUUUCAGAGACACAAAAGCCUUCUGCCCCAGGGACAUGCGCCCGCUCCCGUUUCAGGCACUUAGACCCUACAGCAAUCUAAAUUCUUUAGCACGACUCCCUUUGAACUGUACAACUGCUUCUCAGUCUCCUGCUGAAUUCGAAAAUCCAAAAUGGCCGAAAUUCGGAGACGAAUGCCCGAGGCAUUACAAAUGCAAAUCGCGACGCGGUCGUUGUCGUCGACGACGAACAUUACUGCCCCGCAGUCUGUCAGUUAUUGAUUAAAGGGUCUUUGGGAAGGGCAGCAAUCAAUGGCCCUCUCCCGCAAGAAGAUUUAAUGUUUCCUUCAUACCUGAAGCGCUCGCAACCGCCGUUAACAUUUCACACGGGAGGUCAAAGAUCAGGGAAGAAUGCGAGAAAUAUGAUUACCCAGAAAACGGCGACACCAGGUUUAAUAAUUUAAAAAAUGCCAGAUAAGAGGGAGGGUGCAUGGAACACAACAGGUACAAGAAGCUAUUAAAACCAACACAAUCCAUCACCUGUGUCUACCACACUUAAUUACAUGGGAUGAAUCCCCUUCACUGGCAUUUGUUUGCCUUAUUAAACUCCACUGGGUGUCAUCCUUCUUGCUGCUGAGGGAUAGGAUUUGGCAUUACCCCACCUGCAUUACUGAUGUACAAUAAAAAAAUAAAACAAAAUAUGUAUUUAACUUGUGGUCCAUCACUUGUCCUACUGUAAGAUCGUUUCAACACAGAAGAAAGCCUAAUUUUAUCCCCAUUUUAACUGUGUUAACAAUUCAUUGGACUCAACCAAUCUGCAAUAAAAACAUAAA